CUGGGUAGGAGGAACAGCAUUUAAUUCAGACUAAAACCGAGCUGCUGUGGGAGAGAAGGGCAAAUUACUUUUUGAAAAAAGUUGUAACCCUGUGAUUCCUGCUGUCACUAAUAAUCCUACAAAUUAAUAACAGGCUGAUCGCUCAGCCACUGGUUUUGGCUUCCGGUUCCCUUUGAUUGCUACAGAAUGCCUUUUCCAAGAGUGAAAUGGAGAGGAGGUUCAAAGGCACCCAGGACACCUAUGAUGCAUCAGGGCCAUGGGCCAGGGACAUGAAAGAGGAAGUCUGUGAGCCCCGACAGAGGAAGGGAACUUCUUGUACCUUCUGAAUGUCAAGUGAAGUGGAAGUACUACCUAUGCAAUCGAUA
Molecule: long non-coding RNA, 365 nt
Filed under: Homo sapiens (human)
Lineage: Eukaryota; Metazoa; Chordata; Mammalia; Primates; Hominidae
Description: HSALNT0345887
Source: RNAcentral